AGAGCUUCAACCACUGCUUUCCCCUUAAUGCCUAACCAAGGUCAUAAGAUAAUGGAUGAAAAAUCCAAGAGGUAGCAUAUGUGCAACCUUUACAGCAGACAAAACUAGAUGUAAAAUUACCAUCAUGCUACAGGAAAAUAUAAAAGAAAUUGAUAAUGAUUGUAUAAUGUGAUUUUUCCCCUCCUAACUUUCAUUAGGAUAGAUCAUUACAAGAAGAUAGGAUUACAACGACUAUGAAAUGGAAAAUAAAACUAGACUACAGAAAUUUCUUUGAAUCACAAAAAGACGUGUCAUGUUGCCAAAAAGAUAAAAUUUACCCCAGAACACAAGCUCAUGAAAUGUUGGUGUGAAAAAGGAAAACAAAAUGAGAAAACAAAUGUGAACUAGAAAUCACUUACUUUGUCGUACAAGCGACCACAUGACUUGAGAUGCUACACGCUUCUUGCAAAAUUGAAGCAUACAGCAACAUUAAGAGAGGCUUUUUCCCCUUUUUAAUAAUUUAUUUCCAGGCGAGGUCAUUAGUAGAAUUAAAAAAAAAAGGCUAUCACUGCUUUAAGGAUGGAAGCAAGCACUCGUAGACACGCUCCAUUCGUGAUGUCACUACAAGCUUAUACGUAGUUUGAAGGCCGGGUUUUCCCAGAUCAAUAAUAUCCUGCCUCAAACUUUGCCAUUCACCAGUUGACUUUGCAUGCCUCUCAACAGCAUGAAAUAGGCGAUCCAAACUGUAUAAGACCAAUCCAAACAUGCAUUGCGACUCCUUUUCCAGUCCUUGGUCAACAAAU
This 782-nucleotide unclassified non-coding RNA is filed under the name Hevea brasiliensis (rubber tree). The record is from RNAcentral. Lineage: Eukaryota; Viridiplantae; Streptophyta; Magnoliopsida; Malpighiales; Euphorbiaceae.